GCCUGGAAGGGUGGAAGGAGCCCAUGGCCUUCUGUCAGGUGCUGAGACAUCUUCAGGAACCAAUCAUUUAGCAAAGGACAGCAACCCUCACUCACCCUGGGGGAGGACACAUUCCCAGCCAACCAAAUGACCACGUGUAUAGAACGUGACAUCUCUUGAGCUACUGGAACCUGCCCCCUCAGGGACAAGAGUAUGACAGAUAACGACCACUGAGUUAUCCACAAACAUGUAUUUCUAGUCUGUUUUUCAGUGGUCUCUCCAUCCUCAUUUGAAAAUGUGAAAGAAAAGUGGAUGCCUGAGAUAACUCACCACUGUCCAAAGACUCCUUUCUUGCUUGUUGGGACCCAAAUUGAUCUCAGAGUUUCUCUAUUAUUGAGAAACUUGCCAAGAACAAACAGAAACCUAUCACUCCAGAGACUGCUGAAAAGCUGGCCCGAGAUCUGAAGGCUGUCAAGUAUGUGGAGUGUUCUGCACUCACACGCAAAGGCCUAAAGAAUAUGUUUGAUGAAGCAAUAUUGGCUGCCCUGGAACCUCCAGAACUGAAGAAGAGCUGCAGGUGUGUGCUGCUAUGAACAUCUCUCCGGAUCCCUUUCUGCACAGCUGGUGUCGGCAUCAUACUAAAAGCAAUGUUUAAAUCAAACUAAAGAUUAAAAAUUAAAAUUCGUUUCUGCAAUAAUGACAAGUGCCCUUCACCUACCCACAUGCACUUGUGUGAGACAAGGCCAAUAGAUCCAGUAUUUGAUGAAACUCAUGAAAGUGGGCGGAAGCUGCCUUGCCCCUCCUGUCUUCUAGGAUGCACUCUGUGUGUGACUGUGACUUUCAAGGAAAUUUGUUUGCCAUUUGCUAAUUUCUUUUUUGAAGUUAAUUUUAACUUCUUUCACUGAUAAAUAAAGAAAAGUAUUGCAUCUUUUGAAAUACACCAAAUGGAUUGAGUUUGUAAUUUA
This is a non-coding RNA of Heterocephalus glaber (naked mole-rat), 944 nucleotides long. Lineage: Eukaryota; Metazoa; Chordata; Mammalia; Rodentia; Bathyergidae. The record is from RefSeq and is a predicted model, not a curated record.